GCAGCGGUGUCUUUCUGGCGGCCGGGUCUUCAACUCCGACGAGAGGGUCUGGUAGUUAAGGUUAGGGUUUGGUGUGGAUGAAGGUUAGUUAUAUCCAUUUGCUUUGAUCUGGACCGUCUAUCACGUUUGAUCUGAACAGUCCGAUCGCGAUUAAAUAGGGAGUGAAUUUGGACUAUUCAUCGUAAUCUAAUUUGGGUCGUCCAUCGCGAUCCACUCUGGAUCGUCUGAUCGUGCUUGGAGAGGGAACACAUCUGAGCCAUUCGUGCGCGCAGGAACGGACCUGGAUCAUUCGAUCGCGGGCACACGGAUCGUCUGCAUGGCCUUCCGCGUGGCACUGCGUCAGUGUCCGC
This 350-nucleotide long non-coding RNA is filed under the name Carica papaya (papaya). RNAcentral describes it as "long non-coding RNA (CPAP_LNC009654)". Lineage: Eukaryota; Viridiplantae; Streptophyta; Magnoliopsida; Brassicales; Caricaceae. The record is from RNAcentral.